This 400-nucleotide ribosomal RNA is filed under the name uncultured bacterium. RNAcentral describes it as "bacterial SSU rRNA". It matches the Rfam family "Bacterial small subunit ribosomal RNA", at positions 355 to 752 of the family's 1533-position model. The record is from RNAcentral.
UGAGGAAUAUUGGUCAAUGGGCGCAAGCCUGAACCAGCCAUCCCGCGUGCAGGAAGACGGCCCUAUGGGUUGUAAACUGCUUUUCCAGGGAGAGAAACUUACGCACGUGUUGCGUGACUGACGGUACCCUGGGAAUAAGCAUCGGCUAACUCCGUGCCAGCAGCCGCGGUAAUACGGAGGAUGCAAGCGUUAUCCGGAUUCAUUGGGUUUAAAGGGUGCGUAGGCGGGCUAUUAAGUCAGUGGUGAAAUCCUGCAGCUUAACUGCAGAACUGCCGUUGAUACUGAUAGUCUUGAGUUUGGUUAAGGUAGGCGGUAAUGUGUAAUGUAGCGGUGAAAUGCUUAGAUAUUACACAGAACACCAAUUGCGUAGCAGCUUACUGAGCCGACACUGACGCUGAGC